RNAcentral lists this ribosomal RNA (428 nucleotides) under uncultured bacterium. Its description in RNAcentral is "partial 16S ribosomal RNA". It matches the Rfam family "Bacterial small subunit ribosomal RNA", at positions 355 to 792 of the family's 1533-position model. The record is from RNAcentral.
UGGGGAAUAUUGGACAAUGGGCGGAAGCCUGAUCCAGCAACGCCGCGUGAGGGAUGACGGCCUUCGGGUUGUAAACCUCUUUCAGUACCGACGAAGCGAAAGUGACGGUAGGUACAGAAGAAGGACCGGCCAACUACGUGCCAGCAGCCGCGGUAAUACGUAGGGUCCGAGCGUUGUCCGGAAUUAUUGGGCGUAAAAGGGCUCGUAGGCGGUUUGUCGCGUCGGGAGUGAAAAACAGCGGGCUUAACUCGUUGCUUGCUUUCGAUACGGGCAAGACUAGAGGUAUGCAGGGGAGAAUGGAAUUCCUGGUGUAGCGGUGAAAUGCGCAGAUAUCAGGAGGAACACCGGUGGCGAAGGCGGUUCUCUGGGCAUUACCUGACGCUGAGGAGCGAAAGUGUGGGGAGCGAACAGGAUUAGAUACCCUGGUA